ACUCCUACGGGAGGCAGCAGUGGGGAAUAUUGGACAAUGGGCGCAAGCCUGAUCCAGCCAUGCCGCGUGAGUGACGAAGGUCUUCGGAUUGUAAAGCCCUUUUGCCAGGGACGAUAAUGACGGUACCUGGAGAAUAAGCCCCGGCUAACUUCGUGCCAGCAGCCGCGGUAAU
RNAcentral lists this ribosomal RNA (172 nucleotides) under uncultured Hyphomicrobium sp. RNAcentral's name for it is "partial 16S ribosomal RNA". It matches the Rfam family "Bacterial small subunit ribosomal RNA", at positions 335 to 524 of the family's 1533-position model. The record is from RNAcentral. Lineage: Bacteria; Pseudomonadati; Pseudomonadota; Alphaproteobacteria; Hyphomicrobiales; Hyphomicrobiaceae.